Molecule: long non-coding RNA, 536 nt
Filed under: Ursus maritimus (polar bear)
Lineage: Eukaryota; Metazoa; Chordata; Mammalia; Carnivora; Ursidae
Description: lncRNA (ENSUMAG00000009704.1)
Source: RNAcentral
UCCGCCCCAGCUUCCGCGUCGCAGCCCCGGGAGCAGGAGCGAGAGCGGUGCCGGAACUGUCCCUCUUCGGGGCGGGAGCCAGAGCUGGGGGUCGGGGUCAGACCGGGAGCCUGGGCUGAAGCGGCGGGCACUGACUCCCUGCGAGAUGAAUGGGACAGAAGGCAAUGCUGAGCAACCGGGCCCCGCUGAGCGUUCCCAUCGAAGCAGCGUGUCCUCCGUGGGAGCUCGAGCGGCUGAUGUGCUGGUAUACCUGGCGGAUGACACAGUGCUGCCCCUGGCUGUGGAGAACCUGCCAUCGCUCAGUGCCCAUGAGCUGCACCGGGCUGUCCGUGAGGUCCUGCAGCUCCCAGACAUCGCCCUGGAUGCCUUCGCACUCUGGCUUGUGUCCCCUCUGCUGGAGGUGCAGCUGGACCCCACCGCUGCUGACACUCCGUGGGCUGUGGUGCUGUCCCCACCCUGACAUGGCCUGGCUGCCUCCAGCAGCCUCAGCUGCAGCCCCUACAGCCCGAGUCCUUGGGCUCCCGGCGGCUCCUUGA